RNAcentral lists this ribosomal RNA (292 nucleotides) under uncultured bacterium. Its description in RNAcentral is "partial 16S ribosomal RNA". It matches the Rfam family "Bacterial small subunit ribosomal RNA", at positions 773 to 1060 of the family's 1533-position model. The record is from RNAcentral.
GUGGAUUAGAUACCCUGGUAGUCCACGCCGUAAACGAUGAUAACUAGCUGUCCGGGCACAUGGUGUUUGGGUGGCGCAGCUAACGCAUUAAGUUAUCCGCCUGGGGAGUACGGUCGCAAGAUUAAAACUCAAAGGAAUUGACGGGGGCCUGCACAAGCGGUGGAGCAUGUGGUUUAAUUCGAAGCAAUGCGCAGAACCUUACCAGCGUUUGACAUCCUCAUCGCGAUUUCCAGAGAUGGAUUUCUUCAGUUCGGCUGGAUGAGUGACAGGUGCUGCACGGCGGUCGACAACU